Molecule: long non-coding RNA, 486 nt
Organism: Arachis duranensis
Lineage: Eukaryota; Viridiplantae; Streptophyta; Magnoliopsida; Fabales; Fabaceae
Exons: 2
Source: RefSeq, a predicted model, not a curated record
AGUAAUUUUUCAGUAUUUUCAUCAUACAACAACUAUUUCCUGAUCAUACAAAAAUGGUUUCCAAGAAUAUCCUGGUCAUCAUGAGCCUCUUGGUCUUGGUGGUUGUUUUCAUCCCUUCAGAAGUAGCUGCAAACAAUUUUCAUGACACUACCUCUGGCUUAAAAGAAGUUAAUAAAGGAGAAGAAUCAAAAUCAAAUCUCAAAAUAGAUGAGUCAAACAGGAUUGAUCAGUCGCAGUGUAAAAGAUGCUGCGGCUUCUUGACACCAUGGGGUUGUGGCAUAUGUUGCUAAAGAUAUCAAUGGUUGGAACCUUAUAUACAAUGAAUAAAGCAUACACUCAUGUUGUUAUGGGAAUAAGAAUGUAUUUGAUGAUUUAUGUUUCAACAAGUACUUCUAUGGUCAAUCAUCAGUUAUAAUUUAUAAUACACAAGACAAUAGCAUAUGUGUUUUUCUAUUAUGAAAUUAGAACACAUUUUUUUGCGAUUCA